Long non-coding RNA from Solanum dulcamara, 721 nucleotides. RefSeq lists it as uncharacterized. The record is from RefSeq and is a predicted model, not a curated record. The transcript has 2 exons. NCBI's taxonomy places the organism in Eukaryota, Viridiplantae, Streptophyta, Magnoliopsida, Solanales, Solanaceae.
UUUUUAACUCUCUCACUCUCUCACAGAUACAUCACAUUUAACAUAUAUCAAAUAUCCUAAAUUCACGCCUAAUCUAUAGCUUCGUCCACGAUAAAAAAAAAAUCAAUUUCAGUCCAUCUAUUACUCAAUUUCAAGCUUCUAAGUAAGGUAUAUUCAAGUUUUUUCUUAUCUGGAAUCUCACUUCAUUCUCACUCCUUCGAUUUCCUCUGUUUUCUUCUGUAACUUUUUAUUUUUUUUAAUCAUAUUGUUCACUAAUAGAUAUGGAAUUCGCUCCGUCUUUUAGUGUUGGUCUCACACAAUUGAAUAAAAAUCAAGAAAUUCUUGUUUCACCGGAUUCUGAUUCAUCUUGAGAAGGUUACGACGAGGUUAGAUCCAAACAUCGUAACGAUCCAGCAAUGAUGGAUAAGCUAUGUGAGAAAUUGAAGUCGAAAUCUCCAGUGCAACAUGCACCCAAAGAAGCAAAGAAGAAGAUUGAAGGGGUUACAACACGCCAUAAUCUCCCAAAGGAAUGAAGUACGUCAUCAAAAAGAUUUCUUCACACUUCUUGAGAUUCAGCACUGCAUAUACGGCUAAUUUUAUUGAUGAUUUCAAAUCAUCAAUAGGUGAAGAAGCUAUACAGACUGUUUUUGGCUAUUCAAUAAUUUAGCAGACUUUUAAGUCUCUCUCAUGUAUCAAACUCGAAUAUCAAAUAAAAGUCUAUGUAUCAGAUUCUCAUUAUCAA